RNAcentral lists this ribosomal RNA (516 nucleotides) under Triticum aestivum (bread wheat). RNAcentral describes it as "partial small subunit ribosomal RNA". Lineage: Eukaryota; Viridiplantae; Streptophyta; Magnoliopsida; Poales; Poaceae. The record is from RNAcentral.
AUUAGAAACUUUUGGUGGGGGGGUGAAAAUGAGAGAAGGAAGAUACACUGGCUUGCCUGGGAUAAGCUGCUAAAACCAAAAGGCAAGGGGGGUAUGGGUUUCUGGGACCUUCGCCUAUUUAACCAAGCCCUCCUUGCUAAGCAGGCUUGGCGACUUAUUCAAUUUCCAGACAGCUUAUGUGCUAGAUUAUUGAAGGCGAAAUAUUAUCCACAUGGCAACCUAGCUAAUACUGCCUUUAUCCAGAACGCGUCACCGUGCUGGCAAGGAAUCUGUCAUGGUCUGGAUCUUCUUAAGAAAGGCAUUAUCUGGAGAAUUGGUGAAGGUGAUAAAGUUAAAGUAUGGAGGGAUAAUAGGAUUCCAAGGGGAAAUCUAAAAAUCUCCGGGAAAAAAUCUCGAACUAGGAUAAAAUGGGUCUACGAGCUUAUCGAUCCAGUGUCAAGGACAUGGAAUGAGGAUUUGGUUAGGAAAAUAUUCCUACCUCAUGAUGUGGAUGAAGUGUUAAAAAUUUGUCUCUGA